This 464-nucleotide ribosomal RNA is filed under the name uncultured bacterium. RNAcentral describes it as "partial 16S ribosomal RNA". It matches the Rfam family "Bacterial small subunit ribosomal RNA", at positions 29 to 507 of the family's 1533-position model. The record is from RNAcentral.
ACGAACGCUGGCGGCGUGCUUAACCCAUGCAAGUCGAACGGAAAGGCCCCUUCGGGGGUACUCGAGUGGCGAACGGGUGAGUAACACGUGAGUAACCUGCCCUUGACUUCGGGAUAACUUCAGGAAACUGGGGCUAAUACCGGAUAGGAAUCCUUGCUGCAUGGUGGGGGUUGGAAAGCUUCGGCGGUUUUGGAUGGACUCGCGGCUUAUCAGCCUGUUGGUGGGGUAGUGGCUUACCAAGGCUUUGACGGGUAGCCGGCCUGAGAGGGCGACCGGCCACAUUGGGACUGAGAGACGGCCCAGACUCCUAAGGGUGGCAGAAGUGGGGAAGAUUGCACAAGGGGCGGAAGCCUGAUGCAGCAGCGCCGCGGGCGGGAUGACGGCCUUCGGGUUGAAAAACGCUUUCAGCAGGAGCGAAGCUUGUGGUGACGGUACCUGCAGAAGAAGCACCGGCUAACUACGUG